UGGUGGAGUGAUUUGUCUGGUUAAUUCCGUUAACGAACGAGACCUCAACCUGCUAAAUAGACAGGCGAACUGCCUGCAUGGGUGAAGGCUCUUGGGUCUUGACUGCUAACGCGGUUGAGUUUGGGAGUUGGAUCCUUGGCACGUUCGUCUGAUUUCUUCUUAGAGGGACAAUUUGUCGAAUAGCGAAUGGAAGUUUGAGGCAAUAACA
Molecule: ribosomal RNA, 208 nt
Filed under: uncultured eukaryote
Lineage: Eukaryota
Description: partial 18S ribosomal RNA
Rfam family: Eukaryotic small subunit ribosomal RNA
Source: RNAcentral